CAGGGACCCACGCUAGCUCUUCACAGACCCACGCUACACCCUUCACCCUGCAUGAAUGGGCCCCAUUGACGAAGGGUAGUUUCUAGAAGGUUGUGUCUACUCUUCACGGAGGACACAGGCUUCUGCAUGGAGUUUUAACAUUUGUGAUCACCUCAUUGUGACCUGAGCUGCUGGGCUGCAUUGCAACGGAACAUUCACCUUUUUGCCCUCAUGUGUCAAUGAGCUGUGGACAGUUGAGCAUAUUGAAAAGUAG
Long non-coding RNA from Alosa alosa (allis shad), 253 nucleotides. RefSeq lists it as uncharacterized. The transcript has 3 exons. The record is from RefSeq and is a predicted model, not a curated record. NCBI's taxonomy places the organism in Eukaryota, Metazoa, Chordata, Actinopteri, Clupeiformes, Clupeidae.